UGUUUUAUAAUAGUAGUUGGUUAGGGAUGGCUCUGUUUAUUGUUGUUGAAAUCCACGAAAAUUCUUACAAUGUUUCUUCUAGUCAGGAUUAUGAAGUUAAUAUUGACUUGGUUUAUAGAAAACACAUGGUUGAAGGUCCUGUCCAUCAGAUACGGUUGAAGGCAUUUGACAUCUCUGAAGUACCUAAAUUCUUAUUAGAUGACAGAUCAUUUGGAUUUAAAAUACGUUUUCCAGCUGGGGAACGUGAAGACAAUUUAGAGGGAUGCAAUUCCAUUGAAGCUUCGUUUAGCAGCCACUGCGCUUAUAUUGAGAUAAAAAAUUGUGGUGCGCGUAUAUUGUACAAGAAAGAGCUGAUAGAGUUUCCACAAGCUUCAAUAUGGACUGUUAAAGCAAGAUCAGCAAAAGGUCGAACUGGAAUCUAGUAAGUCUGAUGACCAAAGUGACUCGAAAGUUCAGCUGAAAGAAAAGCUCAAGUCAUUGCUUCUAAGAGUGUAUCAGGGAGAUUUGGCACGAAACCAUAAAUAUGAUUAUGUGUUUCCACAUAUUACAGUUCCAAACUGGUCCAAUAAUCAAAGUAUUUGUUCUGAAAUGAGAAUUAAACUGCCUAGAAAUUUGCAGUCUGAUGGGAGAUGGAUGGGAAUCGCUGUAUGUGUUUAUUAUACUGUCCACAACCACAAGCAACUAGCUAUUUCUGGUGACAAUCAGGAUUUAACAAGUUUUCUCGACUUUUAUGCUCCUUUAGAUGGUCAUCGAGUUCACCUCACACGUCACAGCGUCUUUCAGGACCCUAAAGACAUUUUUGUUGAGUCAUCACAUUGAAUUUUGGUAUUUUAUAUACCCCACUUGUUUCUUUGUUUGGAAGGGUGUCAUCACGUUGGGGCUUCAUUUAAACGCAAUAACCCAGGUGUGAUGGUUAAAGAAUGUGGAAUCCGCCUUGUAUUCGAGCAAGAGAUUGAAGAGUUUAUGGAAACAUUAGUCCAGUGCAUGUUAUGAAGUCCAGAUGCCUAUCAUGAUUUUUUUUUUUUUAAUCAAAAUCUGUCGCAUCAAGUUGAGGAAAGAGUGGCAGGCUUUGACAACGGAAAAGAUUUUGGUUGCUCUUCCUCGCUGCAAAGGAUGCCUCAACGCAUGCCCAAGCUUCUACCAAGUAUUGAAAAUAUAGCAGAGUGGUGUACCUUUACAGAAACUAGUCCCUCCUAUACCGGUUUUCUCGUACCAACUAGGAAAAGGCAACUUGGAAGUAUUAUGUCCAGUGAAUCUUUGAUCAAAGCAUGUUUUCAGAAAAACUUCAAUGAGGGUGAAAUUUUUGAUUGCUGUUUUGCUGAGCGUGAGAUCCCACAGUGGUUUUCCUGUCAAGAUGUGAGGUCAGCGGAGAUCGAGCUAUCUUCAGAUAUUUGUAAUGAUCCUGAUUGGAUGGGAUUUGCUUUAUGUGGUCUUUUCUCUUUUACUACGCAUCCAGCUCUUGUUCGUACGAAUCUAGCUUCAGGACGUUCUGAAGUCUACCAAUUUCGUUGUAAAAUGCAGACCAACUCUUGUCCUGUGCGUUUAGUAUGCUACGGAAUAUUGGCUUCAAGCAACGAAUUAAUUUCGUUAAAUAAACGUGCAUUCAUUUGGGUCUUGUUCAUACCCCGUACAACGCAUGCACAUUUAUGGACUCAAACCGAUUGGGUUGAGUUUUGGCUUGAA
Molecule: long non-coding RNA, 1683 nt
Organism: Quercus lobata
Lineage: Eukaryota; Viridiplantae; Streptophyta; Magnoliopsida; Fagales; Fagaceae
Exons: 4
Source: RefSeq, a predicted model, not a curated record